ACUAUGAGUGCUAAGAUUCAUGGUCGAAAGGGAAACAGCCCAGAUUAUUGACUAAGGCUCUUAAAAAUAAGUAAGUGAAAAAUUUGUGAAAAAAUGUUGACAACCGAAAGGUAGGCUUAGAAGCAGCCAUCCUUUAAAGAAAGCGUAACAGCUCAUUGGUUUAGUUUUUUUGCAUUGAAAAUGUUUGGAACUAAAAUUAUUUGCCGAAGUUAUAGAUUUAUAAAAUUAAGUAAUAAAUGGUAGCAGAACGUUCUGUAAGUUUAAGAAGUUUUAUAGUAAUAUAAAAUGGAGACACCAGAAAUGAAAAUGUUGGUAUGAGUAACGAUAAACAGUGUGUAAAGCAUUGUCGCCUUAAGUUCAAGGUUUCCAAAACAAGGCUAAUCCGUUUUGGUUAUUUUUAUUGUUAAUCGGUCUCUAAGAAUAAAAACGAAAGUUUUAAUUUAAUGAGAUAAAAAAUAAAUUUUUAAUUUUUUAGAAGUGACAAAGUGUGAAUAUUAUUUUUAUUUUAUGGUUUAAAUGAAAGUUUUAUAGCAUUUUCUAGAAACAGCUUCUUCAAAUAAUAAAAACCGUACCCUAAACCGACACAGGUGAACAAGUUUAGUAAACUAAGGCGCUUGAGAGAAUUAUGUUGAAGGAACUCGGCAAAAUGACUCCGUAACUUCGGAAUAAGGAGUGACUUUAUAUGGGCAACCGUAUAAAGUUGUCACAAAAUCGGGGACAGCGACUGUUUAAUAAAAACACAGGUCUCUGCUAAUUCGUAAGAAGAUGUAUUGAGACUGACGCCUGCCCAGUGCUGCAAGAUUAAAGGAAAAGGUCUUUUGGCUUUGACCCUAACUCCCAGUAAACGGCGGCUGUAACUCUGACGGUCCUAAGGUAGCGAAAUUCCUUGGCAUUUAAUUGGUGUCCUGCAUGAAUGGCGUAACGACUGUCCCACUGUCUCCAACAUAAACUCAGUGAAAUUGAAAUUUUCGUGAAGAUGCGAAAUUCUUGCGGCUAGACGGAAAGACCCCGUGCACCUUUACUAUAGUUAUACAUUGUAAUAAAUUUUUUUUUGUGUAGAAUAAGUGGGAAGUUGUUAUUUAAUAUCUAUUUGCACAAGCGAAUAAGGUAAACAUUUUUGAAAUACCACUCUAAAAAUUUUUUAUUACUUAUUUUAUUAAGACAGUGUAUAAUGGGUAGUUUGACUGGGGCGGUCGCCUCCUAAAGAGUAACGGAGGCGUACAAAGGUAAAUUUGAAUUGAACUAGUACAAUUCUAAAGCAUAAUAGUAUAUAUUUGCCUGACUGUAAGAUUGACAAAUCAAACAGGGACGAAAGUCGGUUAUAGUGAUCCGGUGAUUCUGAGUGGAAAAGGUCACCGCUCAACGAAUAAAAGGUACGCCGGGGAUAACAGGCUAAUCACCCCCUAGAGACCCUAUCGACGGGGUGGUUUGGCACCUCGAUGUUGGAUUAUCGCAUCCUGGAGCUGUAAGCGGUUCCAAGGGUUUGGCUGUUCGCCAAUGAAGGCGGUACAUGAUCUGAGUUUAGAACGUUGUGAAACAGUUUGGUCCCUAUCUACCGUAAGUGCAAAAAAUUGAGAGGAGUAAACCCUAGUACGAGAGGACCGGGAAAAGUAAAUCUCUGGUGAAUCGAUUGUUAUACCAAUAGCAUAGUCGAGUAGCUACAUUUAUAAUAAAUAAUCACUGAAUGCAUCUAAGUGAGAAAUUAACCUUGAUACAAAUUUUUUUUAAAAUGUAGUAGAUUACUACAUUGAUAGGCUUGGUGUGUAAGAGUUGCAAGACUUUUAGCUAACAAGUACUAAUUUAAUUUUAAAUCAACUU
Molecule: ribosomal RNA, 1818 nt
Filed under: marine metagenome
Description: bacterial LSU rRNA
Rfam family: Bacterial large subunit ribosomal RNA
Source: RNAcentral